AUUGAACGCUGGCGGCAUGCCUUACACAUGCAAGUCGAACGGCAGCACGGGAGCAAUCCUGGUGGCGAGUGGCGAACGGGUGAGUAAAGUAUCGGAACGUGCCCAGUCGUGGGGGAUAACGUAGCGAACGUUACGCUAAUACCGCAUACGAUCUAUGGAAGAAAGCGGGGGAUCGCAAGACCUCGCGCGAUUGGAGCGGCCGAUAUCAGAUUAGGUAGUUAGUGGGGUAAAGGCUCACCAAGCCUACGAUCUGUAGCUGGUCCUGAGAGGACGACCCGCCACACUGGGACUGAGACACGGCCAAGACUCCUACGGGAGGCAGCAGUGGGGAAUUUUGGACAAUGGGCGAAAGCCUGAUCCAGCCAUGCCGCGUGCAGGAUGAAGGCCUUCGGGUUGUAAACUGCUUUUGUACGGAACGAAAAGGUUUGGCCUAAUAAGCUGAGCUCAUGACGGUACCGUAAGAAUAAGCACCGGCUAACUACGUGCCAGCAGCCGCCGUAA
Molecule: ribosomal RNA, 501 nt
Filed under: uncultured bacterium
Lineage: Bacteria
Description: partial 16S ribosomal RNA
Rfam family: Bacterial small subunit ribosomal RNA
Source: RNAcentral